ACUAGCAUAGUGUAAAUGGCUAACACACCUCGUCCUUACGAGGAGCUUGGGGUUCGAUUCCCCGUGCUGGAG
Hypoxylon fuscum is the source of this 72-nucleotide non-coding RNA. NCBI's taxonomy places the organism in Eukaryota, Fungi, Ascomycota, Sordariomycetes, Xylariales, Hypoxylaceae. The record is from the annotation of a GenBank genome assembly.